GAUCAACGCUGGCGGCGUGCCUAACGCAUGUAAGUCGGACGGGUGCUCUUCGGAGCACCAGUGGCGAACGGCUGAGGAACACGUACGCACCUGCCCGCCCGCGGGGGAAUAACGCGCCGAAAGGCGUGCUAAUACCGCGUACGCUUGCCCUGCCGGGCAAGGAAAGGCUCUGGCCACGGGCGGAGGGCGUGCGGCCCAUCAGGUCGUUGGUGGGGUAACGGCCUACCAAGCCGAUGACGGGUAGCUGGUCUGUGAGGACGAUCAGCCAGACUGGGACUGCGAGACGGCCCAGACACCUACGGGUGGCAGCAGCGAGGAAUCUUCGUCAAUGGGGGCCACCCCGAUCGAGCAACGCCGCGUGGAGGACGACGGCCUUCGGGUUGUAAACUCCUUUCGGGGGGCAUGAAAGGGACAGUACCCCCGAGAAGCAGCCCCGGCUAACUCUGUGCCAGCAGCCGCGGUAAUACAGAGGGGGUCAAGCGUUGUCCGGAUUUACUGGGCGUACAGCGCGCGCAGGCGGGCGCCAGGUGCCGUGUGACAGCCCCCUGCUCAACAGGGGGAGGACAGGGCAGACCGGCGCGCUAGAGGCCGAGAGAGGGUGGUGGAAUCCCCGGUGGAGCGGUGAAUGCGUAGAGCUCGGGGGGAACACCAGCGGCGCAGGCGGCCACCUGGCUCGGUGCUGACGCUGAGGCGCGAGAGCGUGGGGAGCGAACCGGAUUAGAUA
This 724-nucleotide ribosomal RNA is filed under the name uncultured bacterium. Its description in RNAcentral is "bacterial SSU rRNA". It matches the Rfam family "Bacterial small subunit ribosomal RNA", at positions 28 to 784 of the family's 1533-position model. The record is from RNAcentral.